ACACUAUCGUUAACUGAAUACAUAGGUUAACGAGGCGAACCGGGGGAACUGAAACAUCUAAGUACCCCGAGGAAAAGAAAUCAACCGAGAUUCCCCCAGUAGCGGCGAGCGAACGGGGAGCAGCCCGGAGUCUGAAUCAGCUUGUGUGUUAGUGGAACGGUCUGGAAAGUCCGACGGUACAGGGUGAUAGUCCCGUACACGAAAGCACACUUGCUGUGAACUCGAAGAGUAGGGCGGGACACGUGGUAUCCUGUCUGAAUAUGGGGGGACCAUCCUCCAAGGCUAAAUACUCCUGACUGACCGAUAGUGAACCAGUACCGUGAGGGAAAGGCGAAAAGAACCCCGGCGAGGGGAGUGAAAAAGAACCUGAAACCGUGUACGUACAAGCAGUGGGAGCACCUUCGUGGUGUGACUGCGUACCUUUUGUAUAAUGGGUCAGCGACUUAUAUUCUGUAGCAAGGUUAACCGUAUAGGGGAGCCGAAGGGAAACCGAGUCUUAACUGGGCGUUAAGUUGCAGGGUAUAGACCCGAAACCCGGUGAUCUAGCCAUGGGCAGGUUGAAGGUUGGGUAACACUAACUGGAGGACCGAACCGACUAAUGUUGAAAAAUUAGCGGAUGACCUGUGGCUGGGGGUGAAAGGCCAAUCAAACCGGGAGAUAGCUGGUUCUCCCCGAAAGCUAUUUAGGUAGCGCCUCGUGAACUCAUCUUCGGGGGUAGAGCACUGUUUCGGCUAGGGGGCCAUCCCGGCUUACCAACCCGAUGCAAACUACGAAUACCGAAGAAUGUUAUCACGGGAGACACACGGCGGGUGCUAACGUCCGUCGUGAAGAGGGAAACAACCCAGACCGCCAGCUAAGGUCCCAAAGUCAUGGUUAAGUGGGAAACGAUGUGGGAAGGCACAGACAGCCAGGAUGUUGGCUUAGAAGCAGCCAUCAUUUAAAGAAAGCGUAAUAGCUCACUGGUCGAGUCGGCCUGCGCGGAAGAUGUAACGGGGCUAAACCAUGCACCGAAGCUGCGGCAGCGACACUAUGUGUUGUUGGGUAGGGGAGCGUUCUGUAAGCCGUUGAAGGUGUGCUGUGAGGCAUGCUGGAGGUAUCAGAAGUGCGAAUGCUGACAUAAGUAACGAUAAAGCGGGUGAAAAGCCCGCUCGCCGGAAGACCAAGGGUUCCUGUCCAACGUUAAUCGGGGCAGGGUGAGUCGACCCCUAAGGCGAGGCCGAAAGGCGUAGUCGAUGGGAAACAGGUUAAUAUUCCUGUACUUGGUGUUACUGCGAAGGGGGGACGGAGAAGGCUAUGUCAGCCGGGCGACGGUUGUCCCGGUUUAAGCAUGUAGGCGGAGGUUCCAGGUAAAUCCGGUACCUUAUUAACGCUGAGGUGUGAUGACGAGGCACUACGGUGCUGAAGUGAUAAAUGCCCUGCUUCCAGGAAAAGCCUCUAAGCAUCAGGUAACACGAAAUCGUACCCCAAACCGACACAGGUGGUCAGGUAGAGAAUACCAAGGCGCUUGAGAGAACUCGGGUGAAGGAACUAGGCAAAAUGGUGCCGUAACUUCGGGAGAAGGCACGCUGAUGUGUAGGUGAAGUCCCUGCGGACGGAGCUGAAAUCAGUCGAAGAUACCAGCUGGCUGCAACUGUUUAUUAAAAACACAGCACUGUGCAAACACGAAAGUGGACGUAUACGGUGUGACGCCUGCCCGGUGCCGGAAGGUUAAUUGAUGGGGUUAGCUGUAAGGCGAAGCUCUUGAUCGAAGCCCCGGUAAACGGCGGCCGUAACUAUAACGGUCCUAAGGUAGCGAAAUUCCUUGUCGGGUAAGUUCCGACCUGCACGAAUGGCGUAAUGAUGGCCAGGCUGUCUCCACCCGAGACUCAGUGAAAUUGAACUCGCUGUGAAGAUGCAGUGUACCCGCGGCAAGACGGAAAGACCCCGUGAACCUUUACUAUAGCUUGACACUGAACACUGGUCCUUGAUGUGUAGGAUAGGUGGGAGGCUUUGAAGCGUGGACGCCAGUCUGCGUGGAGCCGCCCUUGAAAUACCACCCUUUAAUGGCUGGUGUUCUAACGUAGACCCGUAAUCCGGGUUGCGGACAGUGUCUGGUGGGUAGUUUGACUGGGGCGGUCUCCUCCCAAAGAGUAACGGAGGAGCACGAAGGUUGGCUAAUCCUGGUCGGACAUCAGGAGGUUAGUGCAAUGGCAUAAGCCAGCUUGACUGCGAGCGUGACGGCGCGAGCAGGUGCGAAAGCAGGUCAUAGUGAUCCGGUGGUUCUGAAUGGAAGGGCCAUCGCUCAACGGAUAAAAGGUACUCCGGGGAUAACAGGCUGAUACCGCCCAAGAGUUCAUAUCGACGGCGGUGUUUGGCACCUCGAUGUCGGCUCAUCACAUCCUGGGGCUGAAGUAGGUCCCAAGGGUAUGGCUGUUCGCCAUUUAAAGUGGUACGCGAGCUGGGUUUAGAACGUCGUGAGACAGUUCGGUCCCUAUCUGCCGUGGGCGCUGGAGAAUUGAGGGGGGCUGCUCCUAGUACGAGAGGACCGGAGUGGACGCAUCACUGGUGUUCGGGUUGUCAUGCCAAUGGCACUGCCCGGUAGCUAAAUGCGGAAGAGAUAAGUGCUGAAAGCAUCUAAGCACGAAACUUGCCCCGAGAUGAGUUCUCCCUGAGACUUUAAGUCUCCUGAAGGAACGUUGAAGACGACGACGUUGAUAGGUCGGGUGUGUAAGCGCAGCGAUGCGUUGAGCUAACCGAUACUAAUGAACCGUGAGGCUUAACCUU
RNAcentral lists this ribosomal RNA (2763 nucleotides) under Enterobacter cloacae. RNAcentral's name for it is "bacterial LSU rRNA". It matches the Rfam family "Bacterial large subunit ribosomal RNA". The record is from RNAcentral. Lineage: Bacteria; Pseudomonadati; Pseudomonadota; Gammaproteobacteria; Enterobacterales; Enterobacteriaceae.